UACGUAGGGGGCAAGCGUUGUCCGGAAUCAUUGGGCGUAAAGCGCGCGUAGGCGGCCCGGUAAGUCCGUUGUGAAAGUCAAAGGCUCAACCUUUGAACGCCGAUGGAUACUGCCGGGCUAGAGUCCGGAAGAGGCGAGUGGAAUUCCUGGUGUAGCGGUGGAAUGCGCAGAUAUCAGGAGGAACACCGGUGGCGAAGGCGGUGGUCUGGGCCGGCACUGACGCUGAGGAGCGAAAGCGUGGGGAGCAAACAGG
RNAcentral lists this ribosomal RNA (253 nucleotides) under uncultured bacterium. RNAcentral describes it as "partial 16S ribosomal RNA". It matches the Rfam family "Bacterial small subunit ribosomal RNA", at positions 524 to 776 of the family's 1533-position model. The record is from RNAcentral.